CUAACACAGAUCGGCGGGGAGGCUGGCUGGACUAUUGGUACCUUCCUUAAUUUUGGUGCUGCUGUGGGGUUAUGUUGUGUCGUGGACUUCUGUGUUUGUGCUUUUAAAAAAACAUUAUUUAUUUAUUUAUUAUUUAUUUUUAUGUUACUUGACUGUAAGGAAAAUCCAUUUUGUUGCCUCUAAUAUGAGAUAAUGACAAUACAUUGAAUACAAAUUUUAUUUUUUUAAAUUCAGGUAGAGGUACUGUACAAAAAGCUGCAUUUAUUUUAUCAUCUAAUCUGCUGAUUCUCCAGCCUACAAGGCAGAAAUGUGUAGCAACUCCCACUUAAAAGAGAUUAACAGAGAACAACCUGGGAUAAAAUAACCACCACCUGAAUUAAUAGAAGGUCGCCAUAAUACUGAGUGACAGAUCAAGCUUGAGGAGCUGAGUGACCACCUACUGUUCAUAUGCAUGUAGGUUCCUGAUUGAGAAUGGUAACUGUACUGUGUGCUGUUGGUGUUCUGAGUCUUGUGCUUUUAUCGAUUCCUCUACACAAUUUGUCGUCCGAACACUAAAAGGGCCCAAAAAGGGAAUCACAGUGACGCAGUGGUAGAGUUGCUGCCUUACAGCGCCAGAGACCCGGGUUCAAUCCUGACUACGGGUGCUGAAUGUACGCAGAUUGUAUGUUCUCCCUGUGACCGCAUGGGUUUUUCCCAGGUGCUCCGAACCCCAAAGACUUACAGGUUUAUAUGUCAAUUAAGUUUCAAAGGUCUUUUAUUGUCACGUAUACCAAUUAAGGUACAAUGAUAUUCGUAAAGGUUAGCUUGGAAAAAUUGGUUUUGGUAAAUUUGCAAAUUGUCCCUAGUGUGGAGAAUAGUGCUAAUGUACAGGACAUUCCCUGAUCGUUGAGAAUUCUGUGGGCUGAAGGGCCUGUUUCCACCCUGAAUCUCUUUACAAUUUAAAGACUACAUGUUUAAAGGCAAGAAAGGAAGGAAUUUAUAGGCUGCCUUUCCAUCAGUCUGCAGAGCUUCAUUUUCCACUUUUAUAGAAUCUAAUAAGAAUCUUAAAUAAUUAAACUAAUUCCACAUUUAAUUAUCCUUUCCUUGGAUGUUUAAUUUAGAAGAAUAAGAUAAGGACCCGUUCCCAGCUUUAAAUAACAUUUUUAGAAUUGUGUCUUUCAUUGGCAGCUGUCCUUGAAUUUCUUCGUUCAUUAAAGACGCUUCCUGUAAUUUGCUGAAUUGGCAAAUCUUUUCUCCAUCAUCACUAGGGAAAAGUUUUGCAAGACAGCAACCAUUGAAAAUGGAGAUUUUGUCUUAAUUUAAUUGUCUACUAUUGAAUACAACCUUGAGAAAACACAAGGCCAUCACAUUGUUUUGGGAGCUGUUAGAACCACAACUGCAGUGACACGAGCCAUUUAAAAUAUAUUACCAGAGAUGGAACAAAACUGAAUGUGUAGCUAUUUGGCAGACAAUUGUAAUCUAUUUAUUGACUUUUUUUCCCAUCAACGUUAAUGAAUGUGGUGAAAGCUGGUUUGUUGAUUCAUUCUUCCCGAGGAAAGAGUAUUCCACAGGUAGACACAAAAUGCUGGAGUAACUCAGCGGUUCAGGCUGCAUCUCUGGAGAAAAGGGUGACUUUUCGGGUCGAGAUCCUUCUUCAGAUGACCUGAAUUGUCACCCAUUCCUUCUCUCCAGAGAUGCUGCCCGUCCCAUUGAGUUACUCCAGCAUUUUGUGUUUAUCUUUGGUGUAAACCAGCAUCUGCAGUUCCUUCCUACAUAAAGGGAUACUCCAUCUAUUUUCACUAAAUCAGCCUGUGUUUUAAGUGUAUUUAUUUGCCAGUGGAAGGAGAAUGAUACCCAAGAUACCACAGUUGUGUGGGGAGUCCUUUCCUGUUUAUUGGUGUUAAGCAUCACCAGUCCUACAUAAUUGUUUAGUCUGAAAUAAACGAAACGUUAAGACAAUUCAGCCAUCUCCAUUACAUUAUCAAGCUUAUCGUACACAGCUUCUUCUGGUUGCCCCAUUACAGGAAAGAUAUUGUCGCUUUGGAGAGGGUGAAGAGGAGGUUUACCAGAAUGCUGAAUUGGAGGACAAUAGCUAUAAGGAGAGGUUUUACCUGGGACAGCAGAAUUUGGGCAGAGACCUGAGUAUAUGAAAUUUAUGGGAAUCAUAGAUAGCGUAGACAGUCAGAACCUUUUACCCCAGUGUGGGAAGAAUCAUUGCUUUGACAUGUCAUGACAUAUUAUCUGAAUGGUCGCCGAUUAGGAAAAGGGGAGAUGCAGCGAGACCUGGGUGUCAUGGUACACCAGUCAUUGAAAGUAGACAUGCAGGUGCAGCAGGCAGUGAAGAAAUCGAAUGGUAUGUUAGCAUUCAUAGCAAAAGGAUUUGAGUAUAGGAGCAGGGAGGUUCUACUGCAGUUGUACAGUGUCUUGGUGAGACCACACCUGGAGUAUUGCGUACAGUUUUGGUCUCCUAAUCUGAGGAAAGACAUCCUUGCCAUAGAGGGAUUACAGAGAAGGUUCACCAGACUGAUUCCUGGGAUGUCAGGAAUUUCAUAUGAAGAAAGACUGGAUAGACUUGGCUUGUACUUAGAAUUUAGAAGAUUGAGGGGGGAUCUUAUAGAAACUUACAAAAUGCUUAAGGAGUUGGACAGGCUAGAUGCAGGAAGAUUGUUCCCGAUGUUGGGGAAGUCCAGAACAAGGGAUCACAGUUUAAGGUUAAGGGGGAAGUCUUUUAGGACCGAGAUAAGAAAAACAUUUUUCACACAGAGAGUGGUGAAUCUGUGGAAUUCUCUGCCACAGAAGGUAGUUGAGGCCAGUUAAUUGGGUAUAUUUAAGAGGGAGUUAGAUGUGGCCCUUGUGGCUAAAGGGAUCAGGGGGUAUGGAGAGAAGGCAGGUACAGGAUACUGAGUUGGAUGAUCAGCCAUGAUCAUAUUGAAUGGCGGUGCAGGCUCGAAGGGCCGAAUGGCCUACUCCUGCACCUAUUUUGUAUGUUUCUAUGUUUCUGUGAUAGAGACACAGUUUAAAGGAGAUGUGUGGGGCACACAAAGAAUGGUGAGUGCCUGGAAUGCACUAUCAGGUGUUGGUGGUGGAGGCAGAUAUGAUAGUGGCAUUAAAGAAGCUUUUAGAUAGGCACAUGAAAAUUCAGGGCAUGGUGAGAUAUGGAUCAAAUGCAGGCAAUACAAGAUUAGUUUAACUUGGUCACCUCUUCUCCCACAAUAGUCACCACUAUGAGUAAUAGUUCCCCACCUGCCUCAUUCUGAAUAUAUGGUUUCUCACCUUGCAUGGUCACCGAAGGAGCCUGUUUCAGAGGCUGCAGAAAUUUGAACUCAAAAGUAAUCUUGUGGACCUUUUCAAUGCACUUUCCAGAUUCUUAUUAUUUCCCUUGAUGGGAAAAAACCAUUGCCUGGAAAUUAGAGUCUGCCCUCUUUUUGUGAGCUGAACACCAUAGAGAGGGACAAUGUUUAAAGGAGAUAGGGGUAGCACAGUGGCGCAACACUAGAGUUGCUGCCUUACAGCACCAGAGACCCAGGUUCAAUCCUGACUACCGGUGCUGUCUGUAUGGAGUUUGCACGUUUUCCCUGUGCCAGCUUUCUCUGGGUGCUCCGGUUUCCUCCCACAUUCCAAAGACGUGUAGGACAUUUGACUUCUGUAAAUUGUCCCUAGGGUGUGUAGGACAGAACUAGCGUGGGAGGAUUGUUGGUCAGCAUGGACUAGGUGGGCCAAAGGGCCUGAUUCCACUUGUAUCUCUAAACUUAAAUUUAGUUUAUAGAUUUAGUAACUUAGUUUUGUUUAAUUAGUUUAAAAGAAUAAUGUUAAAACUUUGCUUUUCUCAGCUUAAAGCUAUGCCUUCACGUCUUUGACAUUUCCACCCUGGGAAAAGGAUACUGACUGGAGGUAGUUGAGACAGGUACUAUUGAAACACAUAAGAAACAGUUAGACAGGUACUUAGAUAAAAUGGACUUGGAGGGAUAAGGGCCAAAUGCAGGCAGGUGGGACUAGGGUAGACAGGGCAUAUUUAUUCGGCGAGGGUAGGUUGGGUGGAAGGGGCUGUUUCCCCAUUGUAUGACACUAUGACUCUGUAAUUGUAAGUUGCAGCUCAAAGUUGCUGCUUUUAAAAGUAUAAUUAAUCAAAUAAAUUCUGUUGCACAACACUGAUAAUUUAAGAAAGAUGCUGGGAGAUCACUGCGACAGUGCAGAGACUUCAAUUGCCACCUCAUUCUUAAAUCCUUCCCAACAUACUCCUGCUUGCUUCCCAUGUGAACUGUGAAGGGUGGAAGUUUUCUUCAGAAGUUAUAAGUUCUGCUGUCAGUGAAGAAAAUGUGUUCCGCAAAUCUGUGACAUCAACCUAUGCCAGAAAAAAAUGGCUACCUUGGGAAUGGGAAUCCCACACAAAAUGUUUUCAGGCCAAGUCCCUGCCGGUUGCUAGUUAACCUGGAAAAGAUCACAAGCAUGUUCUGACAACUCAGAAUCAUCUGCAGGUCACCAUGUGCAGGACUCCCAAAAAGUCAAUUUGCAAGUUGAAUCGGUAGUAAGGCAAAAUCAAUGCUAGCAUUUAUAUCGAGGACUGGAGCACAAAGUAGAGAUGUAAUGCUAAGGCUCUAUAAGGCUCUGGUCAGGCUGCAUUUGGAGUACUUUGAGCAAAUUUGGACCCCAUAUCUGAGAAUGUGCUGGCUCUGGAGAGGGUCCAGAGGAGGUUUACAAAAAUGAUUCCAGGAAUGAGUGGGUUAGAAUAUGAUGAGUGUUUGACAGCACUGGGCCUCUCCUCGCUAGAGUUUAGAACGUUGAGGAGCGACUUCAUUGAAACUUACAGGAUAAUGAAAGGCACAUAUAGAGUAGAAAGGAUGUUUCCACUGGUGGGGGAGUCUAGGACCAGAGGUCAUGGCCUCAGCAGUAAAGGGUGCUCUUUUAAAAAAGGUGAGGAACUUCUUUAGUCAGAAAGUAGUUAAUCUGUGGAACCCUUAGCCACAGAGGGCUGUGGAGGCCAAGUCAGUGGAUAUGUUUUAGGCAGAGAUAGACAAAUUCUUGAUUCGAACAGGUGUCAAGGGUUAUGGGGAGAAGGCAGGAAAAUGGGAUUAGGUGGCAGAUAUCAGCCAUGAUUGAAUGGUGGAGUAGACUUGAUGGGCUGAAUGGUCUAAUUCUGCUCCUAUAACGUGUGAACUUUUGUGUGAAAAAUAUUGUGCCAAUCUUGAAGUGCUUUAGUUGCCAAAACAAAAUGCAAUUGCCAACCCCAGGUUACCAACAACAGGCAAGUGAUCAAAGUUAGUUAGGUCACCAUGGGCAAACUGCAUCUGAAAGGAUAAUGAGUGCUGGAAUCUUGUUCUGAUUAUUACUAAUCAGUUUAGUUUAAAAAUACAGAGAUACAGCGCAGAAACAGGCCCUUCAGCCCACCGAGUCCGCGCCGACCAGCGAUCCCAGCACACUUACACUAUCCUAAACACACCAGGGACAAUUUACAAUUAUACCAAAUGCAAUUAACCUUUGGAAAUCUUUGGACUGUGGAAGGAAACCGGAGAUCCCGGAGAAAAUCCACACAGGUCACGGGAAAAAGGUGCAAACUCCCUACAGACAUGCACUCAUAGUCAGGGUCGAAUCCGGGUCUGAAUAAGGCAGCAGCUCUACCACAAGGCCACCGUGCCACCCAGUCAGUAGGUCUUUUGAGACUGUUAUGCCCCUGUCCCACUUAGGAAACCUGAACGGAAACCUCUGGAGACUUUGCGGUUCCUGGAGGUUUUUGUCAGUCUCCCUAAUGGUCGAAAGUGGUUUCCACUUUUUCUAUGUUCCGCCGAUUAUUUCAAAAAUUCAAAACCGGCCGCGACUAAAAAUAGGUUGCCGUUUUUAAAAUCGGUAAUUUUGAAGCCGGUUGCGAUGCUAGUGGUUGCUGGAGGUUGCAGGUAGUGGAAGGUAAGACCUCCACUACUAAGUCGAGGCUGGUUUUGAAUUUUUUGAAAUAAUCGCCGGAACAUAGAAGAAGCGGAAACCACUUUCGGCCAUUAGGGAGACUGGCAAAAACCUCCGGGAACCGCACGGAAAACUUGAGUGGGGCGCAAAGUCUCCAGAGGUUUCCGUUCAGGUUUCCUAAACGGGACAGGGGCAUAAUAAGUCAUAGAUCAGUCUGAAGAAGGAUCCCGACCCAAAACGUUGUCUAUCCAUUCCCUUCACAGACGCUGCCUGACCCGCUGAAUUCCUCCAACACUUUGUGGUUUGCUCAUUUCCAGCAUCUGCAGUUCCAUGUGUCUCCAUUUAAUUCCAGCAGUUGGUGACUGUCUGUGUGCCAUGCCAAAAAUUUACAGCUUACUUUACUUGCCAGCAUUUACGGUUCCGAUAUCUGCAGUUUCUUGUGUCACCAAGUAAGUCAUAAUUGUUUGCCAAAAUAAGCAGAGUCGAGAGAUAUAUUUGUAUUCAUGAAAGCAACUGUAUUGUCUUUAAAAAGAGAAAUCCAGCAAAACCAGUCACUUUAUAAAUCAGAAUGCAUCAAGUCAGAACUCCUGCCAAUAAGACAUGGAUUAUCUCUCAGCCAUUGGUUGGUCUUUUGCAUGUCCAGUUUUUCGACCCUUUGUUUCUGUUCUGAUAAUAAGCAGAUGUUAUUUGUACACUACUGUCACAUGUCUGUUGAUUCUAACUAAAGCUCAGCUAAAGUCAAUAACAGUCAUAAGAUUGUCAAUAGACAAUAUCCGAUGAGAAGAACGACAUUCCCUGUCACCGACUGCAAGCUUGCAGUGAGAGGGUUUGACAACAUCUGCCUAUUCCUCUGUUAUAAUAUACCUGCACUUCAAGUUAAGGCUGCAUAAUUGGUCAGCAGUUGCAGGGUAAAAGCUGAGUCUCACUAACUGAUUUAAAUCCAAUUUGGUCUUUUCAUUUUGAAAAGAGUUCCAGGAUUUCCGCACUGCUCUGAGGGCCAUAGACUUCACAGUCACAUUUCUAUAGUUACGUUUACAAGUCAUCAAAUAAAUCAAAUUUGUUGUGGGGAUUAUGAUCUAUAUUUACUAUUAUUUUAAUGAAAAGCAUAAAUCAUUUACAUUUCCUGGUUUUCAGAGCUUGUUUUGAACAAUGAGGUAAUAAUGUCAUAACAUUAAAUUGCAUGUACAAGGUUGCCUUUAGAUUUUCUAUGAUAACACAGGGUAUGCAUUCACUGAAUGUACAUUAAAAAAGUGAAACCAUUAUUUAAAAAAAAAAUUCAAGUAUUGUUCAUAUCCAGAGUUUCGCGUUCGAACCCAGAGUUUAGAUCCUACUAAAAGCACCGUCUCAUAUGAAGAUAUACAGUAAUCUGUUUCAUCGAAGCACCGAUUAGAUAAGGUUCAUGCAUGAAACGGAAUCCCAAUUAAACUUAUUAGAGCACAAGGCAACUGCAUUUAAUUGAAGAUGCCAAAAGAACUGUAAAGAUAAAUUAAACUUGGGGAAAAUCACAAUGGCUAGAGGACGUGUUUGGUAACUAUAGUUUCCUGAAGGAUCGACAGUAAGAAAUAUCUUAAGGGCAGCAUGGUGGCGCAGCAGUAGAAUUGCUGCCUGACAGAGCUUGCAACGCCGGAGAUCUGGAUUUGAUCCUGUUUACGGUUGCCAUCUAUACGGAGGUUGUACCUUCUCCCCGUGACCUGCGUGGGUUUUCUCCGUGCAUUUGUGCUCCAUGCUCUGUGUGGGAAGUUUUCAGUUUCCUCCCACACUCCAAAGACGUAGAGAUGUGUAGGUUAAUGGGCUUGGUGUAUGUACAAAUUGUUCCUAGUGUGUGUAGGAUAGUGUUAAUUUGCAGGGAUCGCUAGUCAGUGCAGACUCGGUGAGCCGAAGGGCCUGUUUCCACGCUGUAUUUCUAAACUAAACUAAAUCUGUUUGGACCUCUGGAGAGUCUGGAGCCAAACUUUACAAAGUUGGCAAUAGAAAAUCGGGAAAGGCCACUAAAGAUAGCACUACCAAUGGAUCCGGGAUAUAUUUUGAACGAUAAAGUAGAAUGAGACAUUUGUUAGUAAGGUGGGUAGAUAAAAUGAAGAGAAAAAUGACUGAGAGGUCUGGUGAAAGUAAUUCAUAGAGGAAAGAUAAAGAACGGAGGAAGUGUAUGAAUGCACAUGAGAAGAUGGAUUGAUGGGGUUAGAAGGUGAUUUGGUGACGAGAUGGAGAGUGGUAAUGUAUUGUAGCCUGAUAAAAAGGAAAAUGCUUAUUGUUAUAAUAUAAUUCCCUUUGUUUUGCUUUAUGUAGGCACUGCACCAGGAGGCAUGUGGUAUUAUAAAAAUAGAUUUCUGGUAAUGUUCAUAUGCAAGACUUUCAUAUUGUGACCACCUAAUAGCCCUGUCCCACUGUACGAGUUCAUUCAAGUGCUCUCCCGAGUUUAAAAAAAAAUCAAACUCGUGGUAAGCACGUAGAAUGAACGUAGUGGGUACGUCGGAGCUCGGGGACGUCUCUUAGCGGCUCGUAACGCUAACGGCAGGUGCUCGGGAAACGCGGUAAGCUUGGGAAGACUUGUGAAGAUUUUUCAAUAUGUUGACAAAUGUCCACGAGAGCCCCGAGUGCCUACGAGCGGCCAUUACCGUAAAUCUCCGCGUUCGAAUCAGGGCAAACUCAGGAGAACUCUUAGAAAUGAACUCGUACAGUGGGACUGGGCUUUAAAGCUAAAAGAAUAUCUGUUCAUUUUCCUGCAGAUUAUGAUUCUCCAAUAUUCUGCCUCUCCUCUUUAUUCCUCCAGUUUAUGACAAAACAACAUCUUAAGUAUUUAUUGCUAACCCAAAUUAAAGAUAUUAAUAACAAUAAUCUAACAAAGCCAAGGACUAAACUAGCUAAAAAUCUGUACAAGUAAUACGAGUGUCGUGUUUUAAUAACCAUAUUAAGAACUAAAAGGAAACUGAAAUCAUUU
This is a long non-coding RNA of Leucoraja erinaceus (little skate), 8812 nucleotides long. RefSeq lists it as uncharacterized. NCBI's taxonomy places the organism in Eukaryota, Metazoa, Chordata, Chondrichthyes, Rajiformes, Rajidae. The record is from RefSeq and is a predicted model, not a curated record. The transcript is spliced from 2 exons.